UACGAAGGGAGCUAGCGUUGUUCGGAAUCACUGGGCGUAAAGCGCACGUAGGCGGCUAUUCAAGUCGGGGGUGAAAGCCCGGGGCUCAACCCCGGAACUGCCCUCGAAACUAGAUAGCUAGAAUCUUGGAGAGGUCAGUGGAAUUCCGAGUGUAGAGGUGAAAUUCGUAGAUAUUCGGAAGAACACCAGUGGCGAAGGCGACUGACUGGACAAGUAUUGACGCUGAGGUGCGAAAGCGUGGGGAGCAAACAGG
Molecule: ribosomal RNA, 253 nt
Filed under: uncultured bacterium
Lineage: Bacteria
Description: partial 16S ribosomal RNA
Rfam family: Bacterial small subunit ribosomal RNA
Source: RNAcentral